Molecule: ribosomal RNA, 809 nt
Filed under: Fusicolla sp. BCCM/IHEM 3102
Lineage: Eukaryota; Fungi; Ascomycota; Sordariomycetes; Hypocreales; Nectriaceae
Description: eukaryotic LSU rRNA
Rfam family: Eukaryotic large subunit ribosomal RNA
Source: RNAcentral
UGCCCUAGUAACGGCGAGUGAAGCGGCAACAGCUCAAAUUUGAAAUCUGGCCCUCGGGUCCGAGUUGUAAUUUGUAGAGGAUGCUUUUGGUGAGGUACCUUCCGAGUUCCCUGGAACGGGACGCCAUAGAGGGUGAGAGCCCCGUCUGGUCGGAUACCAAUCCUCUGUAAAGCUCCUUCGACGAGUCGAGUAGUUUGGGAAUGCUGCUCUAAAUGGGAGGUAUAUGUCUUCUAAAGCUAAAUAUUGGCCAGAGACCGAUAGCGCACAAGUAGAGUGAUCGAAAGAUGAAAAGCACUUUGAAAAGAGGGUUAAACAGUACGUGAAAUUGUUGAAAGGGAAGCGCUUGUGACCAGACUUGGGCCCGGUUAAUCAUCCAGCGUUCUCGCUGGUGCACUUGGCCGGCCCAGGCCAGCAUCAGUUCGGUGUGGGGGAUAAAGGCGGCGGGAAUGUGGCUCCUCCGGGAGUGUUAUAGCCCACCGUGUAAUACCCUGUGCUGGACUGAGGUUCGCGCAUUCGCAAGGAUGCUGGCGUAAUGGUCAUUAGCGACCCGUCUUGAAACACGGACCAAGGAGUCGUCUUCGUAUGCGAGUGUUCGGGUGUUAAACCCCUACGCGUAAUGAAAGUGAACGCAGGUGAGAGCUUCGGCGCAUCAUCGACCGAUCCUGAUGUUCUCGGAUGGAUUUGAGUAAGAGCAUACGGGGCCGGACCCGAAAGAAGGUGAACUAUGCCUGUAUAGGGUGAAGCCAGAGGAAACUCUGGUGGAGGCUCGCAGCGGUUCUGACGUGCAAAUCGAUCGUCAAAUAUGGGCA